AUUGAACGCUGGCGGCAGGCCUAACACAUGCAAGUCGAACGGUAGCACAGAGAGCUUGCUCUCGGGUGACGAGUGGCGGACGGGUGAGUAAUGUCUGGGAAACUGCCCGAUGGAGGGGGAUAACUACUGGAAACGGUAGCUAAUACCGCAUAAUGUCGCAAGACCAAAGAGGGGGACCUUCGGGCCUCUUGCCAUCGGAUGUGCCCAGAUGGGAUUAGCUAGUUGGUGAGGUAAUGGCUCACCAAGGCGACGAUCCCUAGCUGGUCUGAGAGGAUGACCAGCCACACUGGAACUGAGACACGGUCCAGACUCCUACGGGAGGCAGCAGUGGGGAAUAUUGCACAAUGGGCGCAAGCCUGAUGCAGCCAUGCCGCGUGUAUGAAGAAGGCCUUCGGGUUGUAAAGUACUUUCAGCGGGGAGGAAGGCAAUGCGGUUAAUAACCGUGUUGAUUGACGUUACCCGCAGAAGAAGCACCGGCUAACUCCGU
Molecule: ribosomal RNA, 487 nt
Filed under: uncultured bacterium
Lineage: Bacteria
Description: partial 16S ribosomal RNA
Rfam family: Bacterial small subunit ribosomal RNA
Source: RNAcentral